AACAGGAUUAGAUACCCUGGUAGUCCACGCCGUAAACGAUGAGUGCUAGGUGUUGGGGGUUUCCGCCCUCUGUGCCGAAGGUAACCCAAUAAGCACUCCGCCUGGGGAGUACGGCCGCAAGGCUGAAACUCAAAGGAAUUGACGGGGGCCCGCACAAGCGGUGGAGCAUGUGGUUUAAUUCGAAGCAACGCGAAGAACCUUACCAGGGCUUGACAUCCCGCUGACCGGUGUAGAGGUACACCUUCCCUUCGGGGCAGCGGUGACAGGUGGUGCAUGGUUGUCGUCAGCUCGUGUCGUGAGAUGUUGGGUUCAGUCCCGCAACGAGCGCAACCCUUGUCGUCAGUUGCCAGCACAUGAUGGUGGGCACUCUGGCGAGACAGCCGGUGAAAGCCGGAGGAAGGUGGGGAUGACGUCAAAUCAUCAUGCCCCUUAUGUCCUGGGCUACACACGUGCUACAAUGGCCGGUACAACGGGCAGCGAACCCGUGAGGGGGAGCCAAUCCCAAAAAACCGGUCUCAGUUCGGAUCGCAGGCUGCAACUCGCCUGCGUGAAGCUGGAAUCGCUAGUAAUCGCGGAUCAGCAUGCCGCGGUGAAUCCGUUCCCGGGCCUUGUACACACCGCCCGUCACACCACGAGAGUCUGCAACACCCGAAGUCGGUGAGGUAACCUUCGGGAACCAGCCGCCGAAGGUGGGGCAGAUGAUUGGGGUGAAGUCGUAACAAGGUAACC
Molecule: ribosomal RNA, 729 nt
Filed under: uncultured bacterium
Lineage: Bacteria
Description: bacterial SSU rRNA
Rfam family: Bacterial small subunit ribosomal RNA
Source: RNAcentral